AUGGAGUUUGCUGUGGCGGCAUUUAGCGCGGUAGCUGGGGUCGCCGUGUUGAAGCUAAACAGCGUGAAGGGGAGGCCGAACACCGAUGCUAGGAGCAUCAGUGCGGAUCUCAACUCGAUCAAAGCUACCAUGCUAGAUCAUGCCGACCAUGUACGGCCUAUGAGUUUCUUGCGGGCAGAAUAUUUUGCACAACUGAGGGCCUUGGCAUGUGACAUCGAAGACUGUAUAGACUGCUUCAACGCCAAGAUGACGACCGAUGCUGAUUUUGCAGACAAAAUUGCCCGACUCAAGGAGAGCUCAAAGGGAACGACUCACCGGAUACAUACGUUUGGCUUUAUUCCUGUACAAGGGGCUGCAGCACAAGAGCCUGCUGCUGCUGUCCCGGCAGAGAUUGAGAAUCUUCAGUGUUUGAUGAGGGGUAAACAUGAUGGUGAUUACCUCAACUGCUUGCUAUAUUUCUGCUUGUUCCCACCCAAUUAUCAUGUCAGGACUAAGCCCCUCAUGAGGAGAUGGACGGCGGAAGGGCUAGUAGGAAGAGAACAAUCCGCAAUCAGCAAUUUGGACAAGUUCAUGGAGUCCAGUAUCAUCAGGUCCACCCAGAAAAGCAGCAAUGGGAAGGUGAAGAGAUGCCAGCCUACUGGCAACACGAUUCGUCAGUACAUCUCCCAACGGUCCAUGUCCGAGAAUUUCAUACUGUUAUGUCACGGUGCGUCUGCCGAAAUGCCGGAGGGACACCCUCGCAGGCUAUCUGUGCAUCCUUGUGCAAAUGUUCCACUGAAUUUGCCUGAGAGUUUAUCUGAUGUCCGGACGUUGGCGGUAUUCUCUACUGCUGCGGGGGAUCUCGAUGAAGAUGUUCUACGUUUUUCCAAUUAUAAAGUGCUGCGAGUGCUGGAUCUAAAAGAAUGUGCUCACCUGAGUGAUGGCCAUAUUCAGGCUAUCUACAACCAGGAGCUGAUGAAAUACCUGAGCAUCAAAUCAGGCAUCAUUGAUCGGGUUCCAAGGGAAAUCGGGAAGCUGAAUCAGCUAGAGACACUCGACCUGAGUGGAAGCUCAAAUUGUGACGAUGCUGAUGGAAUAGUGACGGUGUACAAAGAAGUCCUCCUGCUUCCCAAACUGAAGCACCUCCUUGGCAAGUUCCAGCUUUCUAGAAGGGAUUUCUUUGUUUGGAGAUCAGAUGUAGAGAGGUUUCUGAGAGCUAAUAAGAGUGUGCUGGAGACGCUGUCAGGAUUUGUCAUCGGUGGGAGAAAUGGAUUUCAACAGCUGCUGAGUCUUAUGCGGCAGUUGCGGAAGGUGAAGAUAUGGUGCAAAUCCGACGCAAGCCAAGAAAACCUGGGAGUUCUUUCAAAGGCCAUUAGGAAAUCAUCGGUGAUGGCGCCGGAGCGCCUCAUCUUAAGCGGUCCCUGUCGAUCGACUUCGGAGCAUGCCCGAGAGAGUUCGUGGAUGAAAUAG
This 1449-nucleotide ribosomal RNA is filed under the name Triticum aestivum (bread wheat). Its description in RNAcentral is "partial small subunit ribosomal RNA". The record is from RNAcentral. Lineage: Eukaryota; Viridiplantae; Streptophyta; Magnoliopsida; Poales; Poaceae.